Molecule: small RNA, 84 nt
Filed under: Flavobacterium segetis
Lineage: Bacteria; Pseudomonadati; Bacteroidota; Flavobacteriia; Flavobacteriales; Flavobacteriaceae
Description: Flavo-1 RNA
Rfam family: Flavo-1 RNA
Source: RNAcentral
AAUUAGGUCGCGUGAGGGAUAGUAGUGAAAAUCCUUUUUAGUGCGUGAGCAAUAAAAAGAUUCUAACGAAUAGCCCGACAGCAU